UAAAAUAGAACAAUUUGUCAUGAUCUGUACUAAACCAUAGUUCUUUAACUCUGGAAAUUCUGCAAAAUUACGAGAACAUUUGCAAUUUGCAGUAUAAUACCGAGUAAAAAUUUCAGAAUGUAUCACAUUCUAGUAUAAAAUGUAAAUUCAAAUAAUUAUGAUAUAGAAAAAAAUCAAUUCACAUCUUCCGAGACGAAGUGCCGCCGUCUCGGGGCGGAACCUGGGCAAGAGCACUUUUGUUCUCCGGCGGAGCGAUUUCAUUGUGAUAAGGACAUGGCUACCUUGGAUAUGACCAAAAAUAUUUCAUAUUUGCAAAUUUAUGAGGUGAUUUCUUAUUAUAAUUAUGCAAUAAUUUAUUUAUGUUACUCAGAACAAAAAUAUUUCUCCUAUUUUUACCCCAUUCCUAAAUGCAGAAUUGUCGAACGCUUGUACGAACCACGUGUGAAGAUAAAGAAAGAGGAAAUGAUUAAGUGUUGUUGAAGAAGUCAUAUCACAUCAAAGGAAAUGAUUAUGUGUUGUUUAAGAAGUUCUGUCACGCCACUUUUAGCGCAAGAGAAGAUAAAGUCCAAGUCUCUCACGUUCUGGACUCAGAUUCGGACUGCACAGGCAUACCUAGGUCAAAAGGUCAACAACUUUUUCAUACGGACUCCAGAUUGGGUGAUUCUUUUUUAUUGGAAAGUAUAUUUUAUGUAAGUUCCAACCAAAUAGGAAUCACCUUAAAAUUAGUUUGGAGCAUGGAGAUAUUGACGAAAGAAUCUGACGUUGCACCAGAAUCCGAGUCAAACUAUAAGUCCAAAGGUGCAUCACCUCCACUUGGGCCCAUUGGCCUUGUACGACCUAGGGUUAGUUUUAGGCUGCCUUGGGACGUCCUCCCACCUCCUUGACCGCCAUCCCUUUAUCAUAUAUAAGUAGAUCAACCUAGUAGCUUUUUCCUUGGAAUUUGUUUAGUUAAAAGUUAGUCAUUGCAACUUCUUGUACUUCGUUUGCGUCCGACGACCAGACCAAGACCGUUUUCGGAUCCGUAGCCUUAUCAAUACUUCAUAUAUAUUUGUAAUAUUCAGAUUGAUUUUAUCAUAUUCUUGCUUGUUCUUCGAUAUCUUGUAGGAAGAGACCUUCGUGGUCAGGUUGAUCAUGAUCCGGCGUGGUCAAUAACAUCUUGGAGUUGGUUUAGAGAUUGUUAAGGCACAACGUCGUGCAUGUUUGUAGUCGGAUCGUCAAAGUUGUCUCAACCAAAUAAGUAGCCACCAUCUGAUCUGUUGGAGAGAAGAAAAAAAAUUAAGAUAAAAAAAGAGAAUAAAAAAGAAAAAAAAGAGAGAUAAAAAAGAGAGAAGAUACAAAAAACAAAUUCUGGAUCUAUCUAGACUCAAUCCCAUAUUUGAAUUCGGAUUGAAAACUCUUUUGUGCAGUGUUCAGUGAAACAAGUGUAACUUCCUCAUACGAAGUUCGUUUUGGAUCCACGAGUACUCAAACUCGAGCUAUCGACGAGCCACAUAUUAAUAGUUAAUCAAGCUAUUUCAUUAUUGUCACCUCAAAAUCGGCUUCUAAAUAGGAUUUUUUCCCUCUGAAGGCCGCCAACACAGUUUUUCAAUACUUUUUGGGCCCGUCCCCAAAUUUUUUGACUCCUCAUAUGAAAUUUGAAUUGAGUAAUUCUUUUUGCACUAACAAACUUGGGUGAGUGGCAAUCUUGAGAAAAAAUAUCACAAAUUUGACAUAAUAUUUUUCUAAGGAAAGUCGUAGAGGAAGUUUUGUGAUCUUCACUUAUAUCUCGCUAUUUAGAGCUACUUCAUAUCAUCCGUUGUUGAUACUUGUGGUAUGCCGUGACUCCCUUAAUGUUCUAGGCUCGCGCCUCUAGUAAGGUCUAGCCUAGGACCAACACAGUACUGUCGUUGAGUGUUUAUUCAACAUUGCAUCUCUAAAUUGAUUAUUGCGAAUGUUUUGCUACCAUAUAGUAAGCCUUCCUAGCUCCACAUAUUUCUACACUGUGUAUACAUACGUUUACUUGGUAAUCACUUUACUCAAUCUUCAGAGGUAUUGACACCGCGGGUUGCGGGUCACCGCCUGCUGCAUGGUAAGAAUUUGUAAGACAUUGAUAUUUGCUUUAAUAUGAGCGUUUUACCACCACAUCUUAGUAGUUCAUAGGAACAAUAUUCUUGUUUUUCUCUACUAGUCAUGACAAGAUCCAGAGUUAUCAAUUCAUGGGCUUCUUCGAUCGUGGGAGAUGUGCCACCAAAACAAACCGUUACGAGAGGUGCAUAGAGAUCCAAAUGCGCACGAUGAGGUUAAUAUUUCUAUACCACCAUUUAUUGACCGUUUUGGACCUCUUUUUAUAUUGAAUGGGAAUUUGAAAAAAUGAUAUAUUUGCUUCCCAUAAUUUUGCUGAACAUAAGAAAGUUAAGGUCGCAGGUUGUUCUUUCACUGGUUAUGCUUCAAUUUGGUGGAGCGGAUAUUGGCGGUUACACCCUGAUUAUAUACCUACUACUUGGGAUGAUUUAAAACUUGCCAUGAGACACACAUUCAUUCCUUCCUAUUAUACUCAAGACAUGAUUAAAAAGCUACACCAUUUAAAACAAGGUAGUGACACCGUAACAAAAUAUUAUGAUGAUUUACAAACAAACUUGUUGCAUUCCUCAUUAGAAGAAAGUAAAGAAGAUUUUAUGGAUAGAUUUUGGGGAGGAUUAAGCCAUUAUAUUCAGGAGAUAGUAAUUCAUGAAAAGUGUUAUCCUAUGGAUCAUUUAUUUCGUCUUGCUUGCAAAGCUAAAUAGAAAAUAAAACAACGUGUUGCCCACAAGGAGAACGAGCACAAGGUGCAUAUUCCAAGAGUUGAUAUGGUUGUUCCUUGAACUACUGGGUGUACGAUGACAACCACAUCAAUUGCUAUGAGGGCUACAUCACCUUCACCAUGUGACACGUUACCAUCGAGAGUGCCUACAUCAUCUGAGUUGAUCAUAAAAGGUAAUGACAAAAGGUACUUAUCUUCCACCUCCACAUGAGUAUGAUGAAUGCUUUGUCAAUUGCAGUGUACCCUCUGCUGAGCUACCCAUUACUUUGGUCACACCACUUAUUUUAGAGGACUAUAUUCAUAAUUUGACUUUGUCAUGUGAUCAAAUAACUACAAUAUCAACAAUGUUGAGUGAACCAUUGAAUUAACCGUUGAUGAUAAAGAACCAUGUGAAUCAGAAAAUAAAUCAAAUUUGCGUCAAAUAUUUUUUAAAAAAUUAUGCCAAUGUUUAAUCAUUUUGAUAUGACCAAUAAUCUUGGUGAUGAUUCCAUGUCAAAUGACUUGUUGCAUGUUUGUUUAUUUAAGCAUGUUGUACCAUGUAAAUUUGAAACAAUGAAAGUGUAUUCACCAAUGUUAGGAUGGUUUAAUGAUGAACAUUGUCAAUUUUUUGAUGUGAAUAAGGACUUCACUUAUAUGUGCAAAGUGAGUUGCAAUAUUUUCAUGCCUUCUACUUCUUGUGAUAAUAUUUUGGAUUUAUAUUUAAUAAUAUAUGAAAGUUACUCAUGUAUACAUGUGUCAUAUGUGCAAAAAACAAGGGAAGUAAAAAUAGAUGACAUAUACAUAUACAACAUGUAUGCUUUGUCUCUUUUGUUGGCCAUAUUUCAGAUUAAGCAACGCCGAGGACGGCUUUGUUUUCAAGAAGGGAGGAUGAUGAGGACAUGCUACCUUGGAUACGACCAAAAAUAUUUCAUAUUUGCAUAUUUUUUAAGUGAUUUCUUAUAAUAAUUAUUCAAUAAUUUAUUUAUGUUAUCCGGAACAAAAAUACUUCACCUAUUUUUACUCCAUGCCUAAAUGCAGAAUUAUCGAACGCUUGCACGAACCACGUAUGAAGAUAAAGGAAGAGGAAAUGAUUAAGUGUUGUGCAAUAAGUCCUCUCACAUCAAAGGAAAUGAUUAUGUGCUGUUUAAGAAGUUCUCUCACACCACUUUUAGCCCAAGAGAAGAUAAAGUCCAAGCCUCUGAUGUUCUGGACUCAGAUUCGGACUGCACAGACAUACCUGACUCAAAACGUGAACAACUUUUUCAUACGAACUCUAAAUUGGAUGGUUCCUUUUUUGUUGGAAAGUAGAUUUUAUGUAUGUUGCAGCCCAAUUGGGAUCACCUAAAAUUCGUUCAGAGACUGGAGAUAUUAACAAAAGCAUCUGACGCUGCAUCAAACUCCGAAUCAAACUACAAGUCCAAAGGUGUUGCAUCACCUCCACUUGGGCCCAUAGGCCUUGUACGACCUAGGGUUAGUUUUAGGCUGCCUUGGGACGUCCUCCCACCUCCUUGGCCACCACCCCUUACUCCUAUAUUACUAGGUCAACCUAGUAGCUUUUUGCUUGGGAUUUGUUUAGUUACAAGUUAGCCAUUGCAACUUCGUGUACUUUGUCUGUGUCCAACGACUAGACCAAGAUCGCUUUCGGAUCCCCAGUCUUUAUCAAUACUUCAUUUAUAUUCGCAAUAUUAAUAUUUCUUUUACCAUAUUCUUGCUUGUUCUUCAAUUUCUUGCAGGAAGAGACCUUCGUGGUCAGGUUGAUUGUGCUCCAGCGUGGUCAAUAACCUCUUGGAGUUGGUUUAGCGAUUGCUAAGGUGUAACUUAGUCAUAUCAUCAAAGUUGUCUCCUCCAAAUCGAUAGCCACCAUCUCAUCGAAAGAUCGGCUCCCUCGCCUCUAUCACAUCGUGGAUCCUUCCCUCCGAGAGGGGAAAUCAAAGCCAUCUUCAUCACCAACGCUUCCUCCAACGUGGGAGGACUCAUCUCCAUCAACAUCUUCACCAGCAUCAUCUCAUCUCAAACUCUAGUUCAUAUCUUGCAUUCAAUCUUUAUCUCUAAACCUCAGAUUGGUACCCGUGGGUUGUUAGUAGUGUUGAUUACACCUUGUAGUUUAUGUUAAUUGGUUUAUUUGGUGGACAAUUACAUGUUCAAAUCGUUAAGCCUAUCCAAUACCCAUCUGACCUUGAACGUCAACAUAACUUGUGAGUAGUUAUUAUUGUUCUUGAGGACACGGGAGAAGUCAUGUUAUAAACUAUCACGUGAAGUUGGCAUUCGUUCAAUAUUUUGCUGACAUGUACGUUGUGUUUCCUCUAGUGGUGUCAUGUGAAUGUCAACUAGAUUACACUUCACUAUAUUUGGGACUAGAGGGAAGCAUUGUGGAACAGGAAGUAUAUGACGGGUUGCAAGAGUGACAAAAACUUAAACCCUAGUUUAUGUACUAUUUUGUAAGGGACUGAUUUGGAUCCUUAAUUCUUCACUUGUAGUUGCGGAUGCUUGCAAAAGUGGGUAAUCAUAAGUAGGUUGCUUGUUCAAGCAAGAACAACACCUUAGCACUAGUCCACACACAUUGCAAUUUAUCAAAGUAAUGAAUACAAAUCAACUAAAACAUGAUAGACAUGACUAGAGAAUAUUCCCAUGUGUCCUCGAGAAUGCUUGCUCACUAUAAGAAACACUUUUGGCUUGUCCUUUGUAUAAAUAAGGAUUGGGCUACCUUGCUUCACUUUCCUACUACUGAUACUUGUCACUUGGUAUGAAUUUUCUUGCUACCAAAUUACACAUUACUACUAUUUUUAGUACUCGCCAAGAAUACCUUACUAAAAUCCGCUUACGAUUUUUUCAGCUCCUCGUUGGUUUGACACUCUUACUUAUUGAAAGGUUUACGAUUGAUCCCCUAUACUUGUAGGUCAUCAAGACUCUUUCUGGCACCGUUGUCGGGGAGUGAUGCGCCUUUGGUAAGGAAACAUUUACAUUGAGUGCUAAAAUUUGCCUCAACCUGUUACUAUGGAAAGUAAUCCUUCGAGAGACUUGUUUGGGGGUAUAUUCACCUCGACCGGAAGAUGCAAGAGCCAUUACUCAACCUACUGAAAAUAUUUUUUAUGAGAUCCCUUCGGGCAUUUUAGAGAAACUGCUAGUUAAUCCUUAUGCAGGAGAUGGAACAAUAGAUCCUGAUAUGCACUUAAUCUGUAGAGAUGAAGUAUGUGGAUUGUUCAAGCUUGCAGGUUUAUCCGAAGAUGGAGUUAAGAAGAAGGUACUUUAUAUUUAAGAAAAAAUCAUUGGCAUGGUAUAGGCUAUUGUGUGAAUCUGGAUCAUGGGACUGGAACUGAUUGAAGCUAGAAUUCCAUCAGAAAUUUUAUGCUAUAAAUCUUGUUCACCGUGAUCAAAAUUACAUAUAUAAUUUAUGGCCUCGCAAAGGAGAAAACAACGCUCUAGCUUGUGGGAGGCUUAAAUAUAUGUUACAUACAUGCCACAAUCGUGAGCUUUCGAGAGUAAUAAUUAUUGAAAAGUUUUAUGAUCGCCUUCCUCAUGAUGAUAAAGCAAUGCACGCCGCUUCUUCUACUGGUUCUUUUAUGAAGAAAAGCAUUGAAUUUUGAUGGGUUAUUAUUGAAAGAACUAAACACAACUCUAAAUAUUGGGAAAUCGAUGAAGGUAAUGAGUUAGGUAUGAAUCUUGAGUUUAAUUGUGUUAAGUGUUUUGUAGAAACAUAUGAUUUUCAUAAGCUUAGUAGAAAAUAUUGACUUGACCCUGAUAUAGUCGCUGCAUUAUGUGAAUCCUUUGCUACUUAUAUUGAUCUUCCUUAGGGGAAGUGGUUUAAGUUUCAUGUGCCUGUUGAAAUUACUUAUGAAGAACUACCUAUUUUUGAAACUGAAGCUAUUUCCUAUUCUGCCAAUCUAGUUGUACCCGCUGCUUACAUUGAAGAACCACCUUUCCCCAUUAGGAUUAAGGAACAUGCUAAAGCUACAACUAUGGUUCAUAAAAGUAAUACUAAAACACUCAAACCUUUUAAGGAAAUUAAUAUAGGACCUUCUAUUGCAAUGGUCAAGGAUCCCUUGGUUGAUAAUAUCGACGGACAUGUUAUUUACUUUUGUGACAAAGCUGCUGGAAUUGAUAAACUUGUUAGAAACGAAAAAGAUCUUUAAGAUAAGAAUAAGAAAGUUGUUGGCAUUACCGUUGUUCUUGUUAAGAUAGGAGGUUAUUUCUAUCAAGGUUUGUGUGAUAUGGGUGCCAAUAUUAAUGUUAUCCCUUACUCUUUAUAUCAAGAAGUCAUGCAUGAUAUUGCACCUACUAAGAUAAAGGAUAUUGACGUUACUAUUAAGCUUGCUAAUUGAGACACUAUUUCACCGCUUGGGAUUGUUAGAGAUCUUGAAGUUUUACGAGACAAGAUUAAAUACCCUACAGUUUUCCUAGUACUUUGUUAACAUCAAGAUAAUUUCAGUCGCAUUAUCUUUGGAAGGCCUUUUUAAACAUUGUUAAUGCUAAAAUUGAUUAUGUUAAGUAUAUCUCAUGAAUUUAAUUUCUCCAAGUUUAAUAGAAACCUCAUGUAAAGGAAUUUCCUAGUAAAUAUGAGAUCAUAGGUCUUGCUACUAUUUUGUUCCUCCCUUAGAUACUUUAUAACAAUAUUUGCUAAGCCAUGAGAAUGAUAUGUACAUGGUUGAAAGAAAUAAAAUAGAUGAUAUACUGUGUAGACAAACACCUAUCCUAAAACAUAAUCUACGUGUAGAAACCUUAGGGGAUCCUCUUCCACCUAAGAGCAAUCUAGUGUUUGAAUUAAAGACAUGCCACAAUACUUUGAAAUAUGCAUAUCUUAAUGAAAACAAGAUAUGCCAUGUUAUUAUUCAUGCUAACUUUUCAAUACACGAAGAAAAGAGGUUAUGGAAAACUUUGAGGAAGCAUCAAGCUCCAACUGGAUAUAUGAUAGAUGACCUUAAGGGCAUCAACCCUACCCUAAUAUGGAGCCUGAUGCUAAACCAGUUCCUGAUCAUCAAUGCCGCUUGAAUCCAAAAAUGAAGGAUGUGGUAAGAACUAAAAUAUUAAAGCUUCUAGAAGGAAAUAUUAUUUAUCAUAUAACUGAUAGUAGAUGGGUGUGUGUCCCUAUGAAAGUUGGAAUUGCUGUUGUUCUUAAUGAUAAAAAUGAACUCAUACCUCAAAGAAUUGUAUUCGAUUAUAUAUAUGAUGGUAAUUGAUUUCAGGAAAUUAAAUAAAGCUACUAGAAAGAUCACUACCUGUUACCCUUCAUUCAUUAGAUGUUAGAAAGACUAUCAAAACACACACACUUUUGCUUUCUAGAUGGAUACUCCGUGUUUUCUCAAAUACGUGUAUUACAAGAAGACCAAGAGAAAACUACUGUCAGAACUUAUGCUUAUUGCCUUUUGGUUUAUGUAAUUGUUACUUGUGAUUUGCGUUGUGUCCUUCGUGAAGAGGAUUGGGUGAUGUAGCAAAAUAUAGAUAAGUAUUUCCCUAAAUAGAUAACCAAGGUUUAUCAAACCAAUAGGAGUACAACCAGCCCCCGUCGUCAGCGACUGCAUACAAAGAAGCAAACACUUGCACUCAACGCGGGAAAGAGGGUUAUCAAUCCCCUUGGACUAGUUAUUUGCAAGCAAAUAAAGUGUGUAGAUGAAAGUUGAUAAUUGCAAAGUAAAUAAAGAAACAAGGUAAUUGUAGCGUUUGUAAAUUUAUAAGUGAAUAGACCCAGGGGCCGUAGUUUUCCCUAAUGGCAUCUCUCAUGUAGUAGGCAUACGGUGGGUAAACAAAUUACUGUUGGACAAUUGAUAGAAAAGCGCAUAGUUAUGUGAUAUUCACGACAAUGAUCAUGUAUAUAUAGGCAUCACGUCCAUAAGCAAAUAGGCCAACUCCUUCCUCCAUCUAUUACUAUUGCUCCACCCAUCGACCACUAUCCAGCAUGCAUCUAGAGUAUUAAGUAAAACACAGUAAUGUUUGGAGAACAAUGACAUGAUGUAGAAAAAUAGAAGUCAAUUAAUAUGAACUAACCCCAUCGUUUUAUCCUUAGUGGCAACAAUACAAAGGUGUGUCCUUGUCCCUUUCUAUCACUGCGAUAUAAAACUCUGCCAGAUUGAACCCACUACAAUGCACCCUUCUCAUUGAAGAAAUAUCAAUCUAGUUGGCCAAACUAUUUCAAUGGAUCGGAGAGAUUUAUGAAGCUACCAUAAUCAUGCAAAUAAGAAUCAUAUCAGAAUUCAAAGAAGACUCAAGUCUUUAUCAUGAGGAAUCUAAACAUAAACCCACAAUUCAUCGGAUCCCAACAAAUGCACGGCACACAAGAAUUACAUCGGAUAUAUCAAAGCGAAGAUGCCAUGAUCAUUGUAUUGAAGAUCAAUAGAGAUAGAGAGAUAGCCAUCUAAUUACUAACUCAUACAUCUCCAAUGUAUCUAUAAUUCUUUAUCGUUCCAUGAUAUAAUAAUAUUAUUUUAGGAUGCUUUUUGGGUGUUUAUAUACCGGUUGUUAUUAUUUUUGACCACUAACCUAUUGACCCAAUGCCUAGUCCCAGUUGAUGCGUUCUGCAUGUUUUUGGCUUUUCAGGUUCACAAUACCAAACGAAGUCCAAUUGCCCCAAAACUUUGUUAUGAUUUUCUAUGGACCAAAGGAAGACCUGGAGGCAUCAGGAGGAGACCAGACGCUGCACAAGGGAGGCAACAAAGAACAACACGCCAAGGGGGUGGCCGCACCUUGAUGUGUGUUGGCCCCCCUUUGCGGCCCUUAGAACAACUCUUCAUCCUAUAAAUUUUCAAAUACCCCCAAUACCCUAGGGAUCCACUCGAGACACCUUUUCCGCCUCCACAAGUCUCUGUUCCACCAUGAGGCCAUAUGGAGCCCUUUUCCGGUGCCCUACCAGAGGGGGGUCAAUCAUAGAGGACCUCUACAUCAACCUUGCUGCUCCCAUGGUGAUGUGUGAGUAGUUUACCAUAGACCUAUGGGUCCGUAGCUAGUACCUAAAUGGUUAUCUCACUCUCUCUUUAUCUUCAAUACAAUGAUCAUCACAUCUUAUGAUCUAUCUGAUGUAAUCCUAUUGUGCGGUGCGUUUGUUGGGAUCGGUUGAAUUGUGGGUUUAUGUUCAAAUUAUUCAUGAUAAAGAUAUGAGUCUUCUCUGAAUUCUAACUAUGAUUCUUAUUUGCAGAUUAUGAUAGCUUUGUAAAUCUCUUCGAUCUAUUGAAAUAGUUUGGCCAACUAGAUUGAUAUUUCUUCAGUGAGAGGGGUACAUCGUAGUGGGUUCAAUCUGACGGGUUUCUUUAUCCCAAUGAUAGAAGCGGACAAGAUACGUCUUUGUAUUGUUGCUACUAAGGAUAAAACAAUGGUGUUAAUUCAUAUUGAUUGAGUUCUAUUUGUCUACAUCAUGUCAUCAUUAUCCAACCAUUACUUUGUUUGUUAUGAACUUAAUACAUAGAGAGGCAAGCAUAGAAGCGCUCUUGAAGUGGAGUAAUAGUAAUAGGUGCACGCAGAAGUCGGCCUAUUUUCUUACACACGUGAUGCCUAUCACUAUAGGGAUCCGGUUAUUUGCCAUUUGCCAUAGCAUAUGGCAAAGGACCAGUCCACGGAUGGCAAAGGUCUUUGCCAUCUGCNNNNNNNNNNNNNNNNNNNNNNNNNNNNNNNNNNNNNNNNNNNNNNNNNNNNNNNNNNNNNNNNNNNNNNNNNNNNNNNNNNNNNNNNNNNNNNNNNNNNNNNNNNNNNNNNNNNNNNNNNNNNNNNNNNNNNNNNNNNNNNNNNNNNNNNNNNNNNNNNNNNNNNNNNNNNNNNNNNNNNNNNNNNNNNNNNNNNNNNNNNNNNNNNNNNNNNNNNNNNNNNNNNNNNNNNNNNNNNNNNNNNNNNNNNNNNNNNNNNNNNNNNNNNNNNNNNNNNNNNNNNNNNNNNNNNNNNNNNNNNNNNNNNNNNNNNNNNNNNNNNNNNNNNNNUUGCCAUCUGCGAGGACACAUCGGGCGACAAAGAAACUAUUACCAAUUUAAUCAAUGACUGUGAAUUUAGAUCGGGUUGGUACAUGGCUUUGAUUAAUCAAAUCACUUUGUCGGCAAUUGAUUAUAGCUUUCAUGGGUCAGCUUUGCAGCUGAACUACGAACAAUGUGUGCUACUAAUGUUGCCAGACUUUGUGCCGAGAUGAGGGUGACCUAUACAUAUAUGGUAAUGGUAAUGUUCAGUUUCAUAACUAUAAAGUUGUUACGUACUUGAAUUUUCUACCAUGUAUGAUUUUCUGAAGAUGGUAGAGGGAUGUCUAGCAAUUUAUUUUUCUUUUCUUUCACUAGUUAGUUGAUCGAUGUAGUUGGGAACCUAGAUUGGUUUUCAUUAGAAGCAUGCCUGAAUAAGUGUGAUUCUCUUGCUGUGCUGCCAUUGCCCACAACUCUCUCUCUGGUUCCUCCUCGGCUUCAUGGCUAUAGCUACUGGGUUUUAUCUUCGAUAUGUUGUCAUGGGUUUCCAUCGUAUGUAUGUGUCGCUGCAGGUGCUAUGGCUGCUGGUUCCUUGGUCACCAGUCUCGAGCAGCUUGUUGCUUGCUAUUCGGUCGCUCGGUAUUGCGGUUGUUGGCCAUUCCUACAAGCAUGCUCAUUAAAAUUAUACAAACUAAGCGAUGUUUCAGACCUCAGAUUGUUUAUUAUCUACAUGUAAUUUGUUUCCAUUUCCCCCUUUUAGGUUAUUGUGCAGCUGUAGAUGAAGAUUUGGCAGCAGAUCAGAUGAAGGCUGAGAUAAUGUUCAUCCAAAGGCUUUCCUUAAAUGAGAUUUUUUGCAAGCUAAUUGCAUACGUAAAACAUGUUCAGAGUUCAACAAGCACAAAAGGAUAAAGAAGAUAAAAAAUAAUCAUUGGUGAUAUAGAAUUUGGGAAGGAAACAAAACACAAAAUUGCAAUGAUGAAGGUUUGUAUACUUUCGACGUCAUGUACGUUUAUUUUGAAAUAUCAUACAUGUGCUUGCACAAAAUAUUCUGAAAGUUGUGAUGGUAAUAUAAUUAUGCAAUACUCUUGUUCUGUUGUUCGACAAUUAUGAUCAGAAACGAAUGCGAGCCAUCAAUUUUGUUUUGUCCAUCAAGACUAAAAAAACAUGGACAAUCUCCAUAUUUUUUAGUGUGGCACGACAUUGUAGACAAAGUAAUGACUAGUAGAUUCUUUUUUUCCAGGAAAAUAACUAACAAGUCUAACUCAUCAUGUUGGUCAUGUUGGUCAUGCUCAUGUUUUGCAGUAUUCGAUGAUGUAUAAAUAUAGUAGUCGAUGAUAAUGAGAAUAUUUACAAGCAUGAACCUGAUUGUCCAAGGCGUUUCUCGGUUGCAACAUCAUAUAAGGGAGCACUAACCAUGUUGGUCAUGCUGAUCUGUUUUUUCCUCCAAAUUUUUUGCAUUAUAUAACUAUCGUAAUUUACCACAACAUGAAAUUGGCUUCAAUAUUGAUGUACCUUUUAUGCUUCUUAGUUAGAAAUAUGAACCAAUAUUGAGGUUGUGUAAUGGGACAUGGUAGCUUUUUUGAAAAGUUUUAUUUGAAAAGGAUGGGACAUGGUAGCUCAUCACUAGACUUGACAACAUAGUCCUCGAGGGAAAAAUCAUCACUGAAACUAAUAGAUGAUAGUGUAUGAGUAUUCCUCGGAUUGUCUUGACUUCCCCCACUUUGGAAUGAUUUAAUAUACUGUUGUUUUUUAUUAAUUGUUUUUGAAAUAGCUAACCACUCAUUUCAAGUGAUUAAUAUACUGUUGUUCAUCUUCUUAGUUCAUAGUUUCCUUUUCCUCUUGUAGAAAAAGGUAUCGUCUUUCUGUCGUGGUUCUGAUGUUAUAACCAUGCUUGCUAUAGUGAUUCUGAUUUUACGACCAUGCUUUCCUUAUUUCACUACGUCCUCUAUCGUUGUAUAGUUGUCUACUGCUUGUACUCUGUUUAUCUCUACCCAUGAGUUCUACCUAUACCACAGUUACGGUGCCUAUCUAUGGACUAUUGAUUUUGCUAAUUGACAGGUAUUCCUCUACUCACACGGACUUUGUCAAGCAACUACGAGCUUCAACCGGAAAAUCAAGGGAAGGCUGUCAGCUUUGCUGCACAAAUAAGCUAAAUAUCGACCUUAUUUUGUGCAGGCCUCAAUUUCCGAGUUCAAUUUCUGAGUUUAACUGUGGCAUAUACUUCAUCUAUAUAAAUAUAUAGGUUACUUUUGACUUUUCUAUGUCAUCUUUAUUUUCAUAUGUCAAGAUAGUAAAAUAUGGAAAAAAUAACAAGCUUAUUCGGUUAUGUUGGUGCUGGAUUAAUACUUUUGUAUUUGUUUGUUGUCAACUCUUAAGAUUUCUUAUUAGACGCGCAACUACAUAAAUCUAUAAAGGUGAAAUUAUGGACAUCACCUCGAACAAAGUCCCACGUGACGGCAUCAGUAGAUAUAGAAGAAACCAUGAAUAGUUUGAGCGCAGAAAGUAUCAGCAAAAGUUGUAGCAAAAUUUAAAUGGACAUUAUCAUGGGCAUGACGUGCGUUGUGCUCCCGGCGCUUGUCAUGGGCUAAAGCGGCUAGAUGGAAUUCGUCGAACAGGUGGUGGGCGGUGAGACUGACCUGGUCUAGGUUAGUGAACUGGAUGUCGUGGCAGUGAAGGAU
RNAcentral lists this long non-coding RNA (13298 nucleotides) under Hordeum vulgare. RNAcentral's name for it is "long non-coding RNA (HVUL_LNC010217)". The record is from RNAcentral. Lineage: Eukaryota; Viridiplantae; Streptophyta; Magnoliopsida; Poales; Poaceae.